GACGAACGCUGGCGGCGUGCUUAACACAUGCAAGUCGAACGGAAAGGCCCUGCUUUUGUGGGGUGCUCGAGUGGCGAACGGGUGAGUAACACGUGAGUAACCUGCCCUUGACUUUGGGAUAACUUCAGGAAACUGGGGCUAAUACCGGAUAGGAGCUCCUGCUGCAUGGUGGGGGUUGGAAAGUUUCCGCGGUUGGGGAUGGACUCGCGGCUUAUCAGCUUGUUGGUGGGGUAGUGGCUUACCAAGGCUUUGACGGGUAGCCGGCCUGAGAGGGUGACCGGCCACAUUGGGACUGAGAUACGGCCCAGACUCCUACGGGAGGCAGCAGUGGGGAAUAUUGCACAAUGGGCGGAAGCCUGAUGCAGCAACGCCGCGUGCGGGAUGACGGCCUUCGGGUUGUAAACCGCUUUCGCCUGUGACGAAGCGUGAGUGACGGUAAUGGGUGAAGAAGCACCGGCUAACUACGUGCCAGCAGCCGCGGUGAUACGUAGGGUGCGAGCGUUGUCCGGAUUUAUUGGGCGUAAAGGGCUCGUAGGUGGUUGAUCGCGUCGGAAGUGUAAUCUUGGGGCUUAACCCUGAGCGUGCUUUCGAUACGGGUUGACUUGAGGAAGGUAGGGGAGAAUGGAAUUCCUGGUGGAGCGGUGGAAUGCGCAGAUAUCAGGAGGAACACCAGUGGCGAAGGCGGUUCUCUGGGCCUUUCCUGACGCUGAGGAGCGAAAGCGUGGGGAGCGAACAGGCUUAGAUACCCUGGUAGUCCACGCUGUAAACGGUGGGUACUAGGUGUGGGGUCCAUUCCACGGGUUCCGUGCCGUAGCUAACGCUUUAAGUACCCCGCCUGGGGAGUACGGCCGCAAGGCUAAAACUCAAAGGAAUUGACGGGGCCCCGCACAAGCGGCGGAGCAUGCGGAUUAAUUCGAUGCAACGCGUAGAACCUUACCUGGGUUUGACAUGGAUCGGGAGUGCUCAGAGAUGGGUGUGCCUCUUUUGGGGUCGGUUCACAGGUGGUGCAUGGCUGUCGUCAGCCCGUGUCGUGAGAUGUUGGGUUAAGUCCCGCAACGAGCGCAACCCUUGUUCACUGUUGCCAGCACGUUAUGGUGGGGACUCAGUGGAGACCGCCGGGGUCAACUCGGAGGAAGGUGGGGAUGACGUCAAGUCAUCAUGCCCCUUAUGUCCAGGGCUUCACGCAUGCUACAAUGGCUGGUACAGAGAGUGGCGAGCCUGUGAGGGUGAGCGAAUCUCGGAAAGCCGGUCUCAGUUCGGAUUGGGGUCUGCAACUCGACCUCAUGAAGUCGGAGUCGCUACGUAAUCGCAGAUCAGCAACGCUGCGGUGAAUACGUUCCCGGG
RNAcentral lists this ribosomal RNA (1344 nucleotides) under uncultured bacterium. Its description in RNAcentral is "16S ribosomal RNA". It matches the Rfam family "Bacterial small subunit ribosomal RNA", at positions 28 to 1378 of the family's 1533-position model. The record is from RNAcentral.